UUUUCUUCUUUCUUCUUUCUUUCACACGCCUGGUGGGCGGUGCCACCCGAUCACAAGGGCUGGCAAGGCUUUCGGAGCCUGGGGAGCGGACACCCGCACAAAGGGUGGCCAGGCGGCCCGGUCCGGGUUUUUUCUUCUUUUCUUCUUUCUUUCACACGCCUGGUGGGCGGUGCCACCCGAUCACAAGGGCUGGCAAGGCUUUCGGAGCCUGGGGAGCGGACACCCGCACAAAGGGUGGCCAGGCGGCCCGGUCCGGGUUUUUUCUUCUUUUCUUCUUUCUUUCACGCGCCUGGUGGGCGGUGCCACCCGAUAACAAGGGCUGGCAGGGCUUUCGGAGCCUGGGGAGCGGACACCCGCACAAAGGG
Astatotilapia calliptera (eastern happy) is the source of this 365-nucleotide long non-coding RNA. NCBI's taxonomy places the organism in Eukaryota, Metazoa, Chordata, Actinopteri, Cichliformes, Cichlidae. The record is from Ensembl.